UAUAUAUAUAUAUAUAUAUAUAUAUAUUUUCCUUCUCCCCUCUUCGUUCUUCAACUGACCCCCUCUGCUAUUUUUCUUUCCGCCUGCUUCCAGCCAUCGUCGUCUUCUUCGUUCACGCUGCCAGGUCCGCCGAUCGCACCAUCGAAUGCGUGAAGCCUCAACUAUCCGAUUCGUCGUUUGUGUGCGCUGCUCAGCCGCCGCUCGUUCACGUCGUCCCAUUCAUCUUUUCCUUUUUUGAUUGCUGAAAUCUUGAGAUUUGUUUGGAUUCAGGAAUUUGGGGUUGUGAAGCAAGUUGUCCAGUGGAGUAGAGAUUCAUUUUGGCAAUUUCGGUGACCAUUAAUUGUCGGGGGUUAAUUUAAGAAUUUUCAGUCGAAGAGGAAUUUAUUUGCUAGUUGUUCACAUAAAUCAAGGUGAGUGAUUUACUAUUGGUUUGCCCUCGAAUCCCAAGUUGGUAUUAAGACUGUGAAUACAUUAUUAAACAUGUUUCUGUUGUGAUAAAAUAUUCUGCCGUGAUUAACUUAUAUACGAUUGUUGAGACU
Benincasa hispida (wax gourd) is the source of this 539-nucleotide long non-coding RNA. RefSeq lists it as uncharacterized. The record is from RefSeq and is a predicted model, not a curated record. NCBI's taxonomy places the organism in Eukaryota, Viridiplantae, Streptophyta, Magnoliopsida, Cucurbitales, Cucurbitaceae.